AUGGCACAACACCUUUUCUUCCUAUGCCCUAUUGCCAGAGUCAUCUGGCGAUCGGUGGGAGCGGUCCUGGGCACUGAUCUCUGCCCUAACAAUCUUUGGCAGUAUUACACUUGGUGUUACGUUUAUCUUCCUGAUGGUGCUAAAUUCUAUACUUUCGGUCUCGCUGCCAUUUGUUGGGCAAUUUGGAACAAUCGUAACAGAGCAACCUUUGAGUUUAAGCUUCCUAAAACUCCUUUUGAGGUUGUCUUUUCCGCAUGUGUCUUUAUCACCUACUGGGCAGGCCUCCUGAAGGGAGCAGACCGUGAGGCGAUGGAGCGUGGAGCAGAGAUGCUGAGGUGCAGCACAAGCAACAUGAUGAUGAUCUGCGCAGCUGCGACUGAGGACUCGACGACUACUGGAUAG
This 402-nucleotide ribosomal RNA is filed under the name Triticum aestivum (bread wheat). Its description in RNAcentral is "partial small subunit ribosomal RNA". Lineage: Eukaryota; Viridiplantae; Streptophyta; Magnoliopsida; Poales; Poaceae. The record is from RNAcentral.